UUAAAAGACCCCGUUGGAAGUUGCCGGAGUGGCUUGCAGAAAAUCACGUGAUUGAGGCAUGGAUGCCGAGAUAGCCUCAGAUGAGCCAUGGAUGGCGAAUAUGAGGCGAUAGGGAUUUUCAAAAAGACACGAAGGAGUACAACUUCGCCGGGGCGUCAGGG
Shewanella loihica PV-4 is the source of this 161-nucleotide regulatory RNA element. The record is from Rfam. Lineage: Bacteria; Pseudomonadati; Pseudomonadota; Gammaproteobacteria; Alteromonadales; Shewanellaceae.